UGGGGGAUAUUGCACAAUGGGCGAAAGCCUGAUGCAGCGACGCCGCGUGGGGGAUGAAGGCUUUCGGGUUGUAAACCUCUUUCGCUAUCGAACAAGGCCCGCUUAGGGUGGGUUGAGGGUAGGUGGAGAAGAAGCGCCGGCUAACUACGUGCCAGCAGCCGCGGUAAUACGUAGGGCGCGAGCGUUGUCCGGAAUUAUUGGGCGUAAAGGGCUUGCAGGCGGCUUGUUGCGCCUGCUGUGAAAACGCGGGGCUUAACUUCGCGCGUGCAGUGGGUACGGGCAGGCUUGAGUGUGGUAGGGGUGACUGGAAUUCCAGGUGUAGCGGUGGAAUGCGCAGAUAUCUGGAGGAACACCGAUGGCGAAGGCAGGUCACUGGGCCAUUACUGACGCUGAGGAGCGAAAGCAUGGGUAGCGAACAGG
RNAcentral lists this ribosomal RNA (420 nucleotides) under bacterium. RNAcentral's name for it is "partial 16S ribosomal RNA". It matches the Rfam family "Bacterial small subunit ribosomal RNA", at positions 355 to 776 of the family's 1533-position model. The record is from RNAcentral.